AACAUAGACUAACCUGAAUGGCUUUGGCUUGAGCCCUCAAAUCCUUGGUCAAACAAUGGGCAUAAAGCACUGAAAUUCCUAAAUGGCUUGAGCCCUAUUAUCCAUACCUUUUGGUUUCAGUCCAUGCCUUUCAGUCAACACAUGUAGUCUAGUCAAAAGCUAUAUCCUCAUGUAAAUCAAGAUUAAAAUAAAAAAUUAAAUCAUGAUUAAUAUAAGAGACUAAGAAAACAGAAAAUACGCAAUUAAGGAGAUUAAUUGAAACAAGUAUUCUUGUAACAAAUAGUUGAAAUUGAAUUAGAAUAAUGCUAGCAAAAUAGCUUUCCCAUCGGUUGAAUUUUAACAUUCACACCUUUCGUGUGCUUCAAGUAUAAUUUUCAAUAUAUCAUAAAUGUAUUCAAUAUUAAAAUAAUCACAUUGAACAAUAUAAUGCAUAAAAAAAGAGUAUUCUCAUCGAGAAGUAUGUACAAAAUAAAUUCAAUAAAAGACCUAAAAUAAGUUAUAUAAUGAGCAAAAAAAAUAAGUCUUGCUAUGUUUAAAAUUUCAUAAAAUAUUGAAAGCAUACUUAUUUCUUAAUGAAACCUAAGCUGCAGAUUUAAAUAAANNNNNNNNNNNNNNNNNNNNNNNNNNNNNNNNNNNNNNUAUUAGAAAUCAGUUAAAUUGAUCAUAAAACAUGAACACAAAUUGACAAAGAAAAAAUAAGUGCAGAAAAUUGGGAGAAAGACGAUACUAAUGAAAGCAAACAAAAUAAUCAUAAUAUCUAUUUUACCCUUGGAUUUUAGGAUUUUCUCAAAUUGGAUUUCAUCCAUACUCUUUAAACCCCAUUUCUCAAACUGCGUAGUUAUAGGCAUAGUAUUUUCUCUGAUUAAUUCUGAUUAUAUUUUUCNNNNNNNAAAAUUUGAUGAAGAAACAUGAAAAUAAUUAUCAUUAGCAAAACAAUUAAGCUCUUACCCCUGUCUGACUUUUUAGAGCAGUAAAGCAUCCAACUUUCGAAAUCAACAAAAAUCUCU
This 1007-nucleotide long non-coding RNA is filed under the name Trifolium pratense (red clover). RNAcentral describes it as "long non-coding RNA (TPRA_LNC001650)". The record is from RNAcentral. Lineage: Eukaryota; Viridiplantae; Streptophyta; Magnoliopsida; Fabales; Fabaceae.